RNAcentral lists this ribosomal RNA (194 nucleotides) under uncultured eukaryote. Its description in RNAcentral is "partial 18S ribosomal RNA". It matches the Rfam family "Eukaryotic small subunit ribosomal RNA", at positions 1 to 193 of the family's 1831-position model. The record is from RNAcentral.
UGAACCUGGUUGAUCCUGCCAGUAGUCAUAUGCUUGUCUCAAAGAUUAAGCCAUGCAUGUCUAAGUAUAAGCAACUAUACGGUGAAACUGCGAAUGGCUCAUUAAAUCAGUUAUCGUUUAUUUGAUAGUACCUUACUACAUGGAUAACCGUGGUAAUUCUAGAGCUAAUACAUGCUAAAAACCUCGACUUCGGG